AGAAAACGGAGGUAUUUUGAACUCACAUUUGGUAGAGCUAUUUUGGAAGCUCUACCGUAAUUUGCACGGACGGUACAAUCCCCGUCUCAGGAUUAGAGGUCCAACGUCUUUGGCACUCCAAUGGUAUGGUGGUAUGGAAAAAAUGGAAAAGAAGAAACUCCAAUGGUAUAGUAGAAAAGAAGAAACUCCAAUGGUAUAGUAGGACACGCU
Non-coding RNA from Pelobates cultripes (western spadefoot toad), 210 nucleotides. The record is from the annotation of a GenBank genome assembly. NCBI's taxonomy places the organism in Eukaryota, Metazoa, Chordata, Amphibia, Anura, Pelobatidae.